AAAAGUCGUAACAAGGUUUCCGUAGGUGAACCUGCGGAAGGAUCAUUAUCGUACANCANAGGCGGGCUGUCGGCUGACUUAUUGGGUCGUGCACGCCCGUGUGCUCUCUCUCCAUCUCACCCUUGUGCACCACCGCGUGGGUCCUGGGAGAGGCCUACGUUUUUAAUCAACUUUUUUAGUAUAGAAUGUCGUUUGCUCACACGCAAUCAAUACAACUUUCAACAACGGAUCUCUUGGCUCUCGCAUCGAUGAAGAACGCAGCGAAAUGCGAUACGUAAUGUGAAUUGCAGAAUUCAGUGAAUCAUCGAAUCUUUGAACGCACCUUGCGCCCCUUGGCAUUCCGAGGGGCACACCCGUUUGAGUGUCGUGAAAUCCUCAAAACCCUUUCUUUUCGGGGGAAAGGAUUUUGGACUUGGAGGGUCACUGCUGGCUUUGAAAAGUGAGCUCCUCCUAAAGGAAUUAGUGGGGUUUGCUUUGUCGAUCCUUGACGUGAUAAGAUUUCUACGUUUUGGAUCCGUAGCCUGCUUCCAACCGUCAGAAAACCUUGACCUCAAAUCGGGUGAGACUACCCGCUGAACUUAAGCAUAUCAAUAAGCGGAGGAAAAGAAACUAACAAGGAUUCCCCUAGUAACUGCGAGUGAAGCGGGAAAAGCUCAAAUUUAAA
RNAcentral lists this small RNA (664 nucleotides) under Russula congoana. RNAcentral describes it as "eukaryotic LSU rRNA". The stretch from base 214 to 367 matches the Rfam family "5.8S ribosomal RNA". The record is from RNAcentral. Lineage: Eukaryota; Fungi; Basidiomycota; Agaricomycetes; Russulales; Russulaceae.